CUCCGGUUGAUCCUGCCGGACCUGACUGCUAUCGGAUUGGUACUAAGCCAUGCGAGUCAUUGUAGCAAUACAAGGCGGACGGCUCAGUAACACGUAGUCAACCUAACUCGUGGACGUGGAUAACCUCGGGAAACUGAGAAUAAACCACGAUAGACCAUAGUGCCUGGAAUGGCUUAUGGUCCAAACAGUUUACUGCCAUGGGAUGGGACUGCGGCCUAUCAGCUUGUUGGUGAGGUAAUGGCCCACCAAGGCGAUUACAGGUACGGGCUCUGAGAGGAGAAGCCCGGAGAUGGGUACUGAGACACGGACCCAGGCCCUAUGGGGCGCAGCAGGCGAGAAACCUUAGCAAUGUGCGAAAGCACGACUGGGUCAGUCCGAGUGAUUCCUGAUAAAGGAGUCUUUUGCUUGUCCUAAAAGCACAGGUGAAUAAGGGGUGGGCAAGUCUGGUGUCAGCCGCCGCGGUAAUACCAGCACCUCGAGUGGUCAGGACGUUUAUUGGGCCUAAAGCAUCCGUAGCCGGCUUUGCAAGUCUUCGGUUAAAUCCACCUGCUCAACAGAUGGGCUGCUGGAGAUACUACAAAGCUAGGGAGUGGGAGAGGCAGACGGUAUUCAGUGGGUAGGGGUAAAAUCCUCUGAUCCAUUGAGGACCACCAGUGGCGAAGGCGGUCUGCCAGAACACGUUCGACGGUGAGGGAUGAAAGCUGGGGGAGCAAACCGGAUUAGAUACCCGGGUAGUCCCAGCUGUAAACGAUGCAAACUCGGUGAUGCAUUGGCUUAUGGCCAAUGCAGUGCCGCAGGGAAGCCGUUAAGUUUGCCGCCUGGGAAGUACGGACGCAAGUCUGAAACUUAAAGGAAUUGGCGGGGGAGCA
RNAcentral lists this ribosomal RNA (869 nucleotides) under uncultured archaeon. RNAcentral describes it as "bacterial SSU rRNA". It matches the Rfam family "Archaeal small subunit ribosomal RNA", at positions 1 to 878 of the family's 1478-position model. The record is from RNAcentral.